This 499-nucleotide ribosomal RNA is filed under the name uncultured bacterium. RNAcentral's name for it is "partial 16S ribosomal RNA". It matches the Rfam family "Bacterial small subunit ribosomal RNA", at positions 899 to 1397 of the family's 1533-position model. The record is from RNAcentral.
ACUCAAAUGAAUUGACGGGGACCCGCACAAGCGGUGGAGCAUGUUGUUUAAUUCGUCGCAACGCGAAGAACCUUACCUACGCUUGUAUCCUGGUAGCGGCUUUCAGAGAUGAGAGCUUCAUUUAGUUGGACCAGAGACAGGUGCUGCAUGGCUGUCGUCAGCUCGUGUCGUGAGAUGUUGGGUUAAGUCCCGCAACGAGCGCAACCCUUGUCGUAUGUUGCCAUCAGGUAAUGCUGGGCACUCAUACGAGACCGCCGGUGAUAAGCCGGAGGAAGGUGGGGACGACGUCAAGUCAUCAUGGCCCUUACGCGUAGGGCUACAAACGUGCUACAAUGGCUGUGACAGUGGGCAGCAACCUUGCAAGAGGAAGCGAAUCCCUAAAAGCAGUCUCAGUUCGGAUUGUCCUCUGCAACUCGAGGGCAUGAAGCUGGAAUCGCUAGUAAUCGUGGAUCAGCACGCCACGGUGAAUACGUUCCCGGGUCUUGUACACACCGCCCGU